Molecule: ribosomal RNA, 505 nt
Filed under: uncultured bacterium
Lineage: Bacteria
Description: bacterial SSU rRNA
Rfam family: Bacterial small subunit ribosomal RNA
Source: RNAcentral
AACAAACGCUGGCGGCGUGCCUAACACAUGCAAGUCGAACGCGAAAAUCGGCUUCGGCCGAUGAGUAAAGUGGCGCACGGGUGAGUAGCGCGUGGGUAAUCUGCCCCCCGGUCAGGAAUAACCCGCCGAAAGGCGGGCUAAUACCCGAUAACACUGACGCUCCGCGGAGCGUCUUUCAAAGGAGGCCUCUGUUUACAAGCUUUCGCCGGAGGAUGAGCCCGCGUACCAUUAGCUAGUUGGCAGGGUAAUGGCCUACCAAGGCUGCGAUGGUUAGCUGGUCUGAGAGGAUGGCCAGCCACACUGGAACUGAGACACGGUCCAGACUCCUACGGGAGGCAGCAGUGAGGAAUCUUGCGCAAUGGGGGAAACCCUGACGCAGCAACGCCGCGUGAGUGAGGAAGCCUUCGGUCGUAAGCUCUGUCAGAGUAGGGAAGAAAGUAGGGGUGGGGCGUAAUAUCGCCCACUCCUUCGUACGGUACCAUCAGAGGAAGCGACCGGACUAACU